UGGCUCAGUGGUAAAGCGCUUGUCUUCCAUGCAUGAGGCCCUGGGUUCGAUUCCCCCAG
This 59-nucleotide transfer RNA is filed under the name Dipodomys ordii (Ord's kangaroo rat). It matches the Rfam family "tRNA", at positions 8 to 63 of the family's 71-position model. Rfam says of the family: Transfer RNA (tRNA) molecules are approximately 80 nucleotides in length. Their secondary structure includes four short double-helical elements and three loops (D, anti-codon, and T loops). Further hydrogen bonds mediate the characteristic L-shaped molecular structure. tRNAs have two regions of fundamental functional importance: the anti-codon, which is responsible for specific mRNA codon recognition, and the 3' end, to which the tRNAs corresponding amino acid is attached (by aminoacyl-tRNA synthetases). tRNAs cope with the degeneracy of the genetic code in two manners: having more than one tRNA (with a specific anti-codon) for a particular amino acid; and 'wobble' base-pairing, i.e. permitting non-standard base-pairing at the 3rd anti-codon position. The record is from Rfam by way of RNAcentral. Lineage: Eukaryota; Metazoa; Chordata; Mammalia; Rodentia; Heteromyidae.